AGAGUUUGAUCCUGGCUCAGGAUGAACGCUAGCGGCAGGCUUAACACAUGCAAGUCGAGGGGCAGCGGGGAGGAAGCUUGCUUUCUCCGCCGGCGACCGGCGCACGGGUGAGUAACACGUAUGCAACCUGCCCCUGUCAGGGGGACAACCCGCCGAAAGGCGGGCUAAACCCGCGUACAUGCCACCGGGGCAUCCCGGAGGCAGGAAAGGCUUCGGCCGGACAGGGAUGGGCAUGCGGCGCAUUAGGCAGUAGGCGGGGUAACGGCCCACCUAACCGACGAUGCGUAGGGGUUCUGAGAGGAAGGUCCCCCACACUGGUACUGAGACACGGACCAGACUCCUACGGGAGGCAGCAGUGAGGAAUAUUGGUCAAUGGUCGGGAGACUGAACCAGCCAAGCCGCGUGAGGGAUGAAGGUACAGAGUAUCGUAAACCUCUUUUGUCAGGGAACAAAGGCGGGGACGCGUCCCCGGAUGAGUGUACCUGAAGAAAAAGCAUCGGCUAACUCCGUGCCAGCAGCCGCGGUAAUACGGAGGAUGCGAGCGUUAUCCGGAUUUAUUGGGUUUAAAGGGUGCGCAGGCGGUCUGUUAAGUCAGCGGUCAAAGCCCGGGGCUCAACCCCGGUCCGCCGUUGAAACUGGCAGUCUCGAGUUGGAGAGAAGUAUGCGGAAUGCGCGGUGUAGCGGUGAAAUGCAUAGAUAUCGCGCAGAACUCCGAUUGCGAAGGCAGCAUGCCGGCUCCACACUGACGCUGAGGCACGAAAGCGUGGGUAUCGAACAGGAUUAGAUACCCUGGUAGUCCACGCAGUAAACGAUGAAUGCUGGCUGUCCGGGGGGACUGACCCCUGGGUGGCGAAGCGAAAGCGAUAAGCAUUCCACCUGGGGAGUACGCCGGCAACGGUGAAACUCAAAGGAAUUGGCGGGGGCCCGCACAAGCGGAGGAACAUGUGGUUUAAUUCGAUGAUACGCGAGGAACCUUACCCGGGCUCAAACGGGGAGUGACUCAGGCAGAGACGCCUGUUUCCCACGGGACACUCCCCGAGGUGCUGCAUGGUUGUCGUCAGCUCGUGCCGUGAGGUGUCGGCUUAAGUGCCAUAACGAGCGCAACCCCCGCGUGCAGUUGCUAACAGUCAACGCUGAGGACUCUGCACGGACUGCCGGCGCAAGCCGCGAGGAAGGCGGGGAUGACGUCAAAUCAGCACGGCCCUUACGUCCGGGGCGACACACGUGUUACAAUGGGUGGUACAGCGGGAAGCCAGGCGGCGACGCCGAGCGGAACCCGAAAUCCACUCUCAGUUCGGAUCGGAGUCUGCAACCCGACUCCGUGAAGCUGGAUUCGCUAGUAAUCGCGCAUCAGCCAUGGCGCGGUGAAUACGUUCCCGGGCCUUGCACACACCGCCCGUCA
RNAcentral lists this ribosomal RNA (1402 nucleotides) under uncultured bacterium. RNAcentral's name for it is "16S ribosomal RNA". It matches the Rfam family "Bacterial small subunit ribosomal RNA". The record is from RNAcentral.